RNAcentral lists this ribosomal RNA (253 nucleotides) under uncultured bacterium. RNAcentral describes it as "partial 16S ribosomal RNA". It matches the Rfam family "Bacterial small subunit ribosomal RNA", at positions 524 to 776 of the family's 1533-position model. The record is from RNAcentral.
UACGUAGGGGGCAAGCGUUGUCCGGAUUUAUUGGGCGUAAAGAGCGUGUAGGCGGCCAUACAGGUCAGCUGUGAAAACUCGAGGCUCAACCUCGAGACGUCGGUUGAAACCGUAUGGCUAGAGUCCGGAAGAGGAGAGUGGAAUUCCCGGUGUAGCGGUGAAAUGCGCAGAUAUCAGGAAGAACACCAAUGGCGAAAGCAGCUCUCUGGGACGGUACUGACGCUGAGACGCGAAAGCGUGGGGAGCGAACAGG